CAGCCUGAGAAACGGCUACCACAUCCACGGAAGGCAGCAGGUGCGCAAAUUACCCAAUCCUAAAUCAGGGAGGUAGUGACAAUAAAUAACGAGGGCGGGCGAUUAUCGUCUGCUAAUCGGAAUGAGAACAAUUUAAAACCCUUAUCGAAAUCAAGUGGAGGGAAAGUCUGGUGC
This 174-nucleotide ribosomal RNA is filed under the name uncultured eukaryote. RNAcentral's name for it is "partial 18S ribosomal RNA". It matches the Rfam family "Eukaryotic small subunit ribosomal RNA", at positions 392 to 567 of the family's 1831-position model. The record is from RNAcentral.